RNAcentral lists this ribosomal RNA (372 nucleotides) under uncultured organism. RNAcentral's name for it is "bacterial SSU rRNA". It matches the Rfam family "Bacterial small subunit ribosomal RNA", at positions 45 to 433 of the family's 1533-position model. The record is from RNAcentral.
GGCUUAAUACAUGCAAGUCAAGGGGUAGCAAUACACCGGCGUACGGGUGCAUAACGCGUAUGGAACCUGCCCUUAUCUGGGGGAUAACUCGGGGAAACUCGAGCUAAUACCGCAUAAGAUAGUAAGAGGCAUCUCUUAGCUAUUAAAGAUUUAUCGGAUAAGGAUGGCCAUGCGUAAGGUUAGAUAGUUGGCGAGGUAACGGCUCACCAAGUCUACGAUCUUUAGGGGCUCUGAGAGGAGAAUCCCCCACACUGGCACUGAGAUACGGGCCAGACUCCUACGGGAGGCAGCAGUAGGGAAUAUUGGGCAAUGGGCGGAAGCCUGACCCAGCCACGCCGCGUGCAGGAAGACGGCCCUCUGGGUUGGUACUGC